GACAGAGGUGCCGAGCGUUAGGCGGAAUCACUGGGCUUAAAGCGUGUGUAGGCGGACCGUUAAGUGCCUUGUGAAAUCCCACGGCUCAACCGUGGAACGUCUGGGCAUACUGGCGGUUCUUGAGCUGUUCAGGGGCGACUGGAACGAACGGUGGAGCGGUGAAAUGCGUAGAUAUCGUUCGGAACGCCAACGGUGAAAACAGGUCGCUGGGAACAUGCUGACGCUGAGACACGAAAGCCAGGGGA
This 245-nucleotide ribosomal RNA is filed under the name uncultured bacterium. RNAcentral's name for it is "partial 16S ribosomal RNA". It matches the Rfam family "Bacterial small subunit ribosomal RNA", at positions 524 to 767 of the family's 1533-position model. The record is from RNAcentral.